GUGCCAGCAGCCGCGGUAAUACGUAGGGUCCGAGCGUUGUCCGGAAUUAUUGGGCGUAAAGAGCUCGUAGGCGGUUUGUCGCGUCUGCUGUGAAAACUAGAGGCUCAACCUCUAGCCUGCAGUGGGUACGGGCAGACUUGAGUGGUGUAGGGGAGACUGGAAUUCCUGGUGUAGCGGUGGAAUGCGCAGAUAUCAGGAGGAACACCGAUGGCGAAGGCAGGUCUCUGGGCACUUACUGACGCUGAGGAGCGAAAGCGUGGGGAGCGAACAGGAUUAGAUACCCUGGUAGUCCACGCCGUAAACGUUGGGCGCUAGAUGUGGGGACCUUUCCACGGUUUCCGUGUCGUAGCUAACGCAUUAAGCGCCCCGCCUGGGGAGUACGGCCGCAAGGCUAAAACUCAAAGGAAUUGACGGGGGCCCGCACAAGCGGCGGAGCAUGCGGAUUAAUUCGAUGCAACGCGAAGAACCUUACCAAGGCUUGACAUACACGAGAACGGGCCAGAAAUGGUCAACUCUUUGGACACUCGUGAACAGGUGGUGCAUGGUUGUCGUCAGCUCGUGUCGUGAGAUGUUGGGUUAAGUCCCGCAACGAGCGCAACCCUCGUCGCAUGUUGCCAGCACGUUAUGGUGGGGACUCAUGUGAGACUGCCGGGGUCAACUCGGAGGAAGGUGGGGAUGACGUCAAAUCAUCAUGCCCCUUAUGUCUUGGGCUUCACGCAUGCUACAAUGGCCGGUACAAAGGGCUGCGAUGUCGUAAGGCGGAGCGAAUCCCAAAAAGCCGGUCUCAGUUCGGAUUGAGGUCUGCAACUCGACCUCAUGAAGUCGGAGUCGCUAGUAAUCGCAGAUCAGCAACGCUGCGGUGAAUACGUUCCCGGGCCUUGUACACACCGCCCGUCAAGUCAUGAAAGUCGGUAACACCCGAAGCCGGUGGCCUA
This 935-nucleotide ribosomal RNA is filed under the name uncultured prokaryote. RNAcentral's name for it is "bacterial SSU rRNA". It matches the Rfam family "Bacterial small subunit ribosomal RNA", at positions 505 to 1437 of the family's 1533-position model. The record is from RNAcentral.